AUUAAAGUCCAUAGGACACUGGUCCUCCAGGACUGGAGCUGUAUAGACCUGCUUUAAAACUUCUAGGAGAAUCAAGUACUCUUGGAGACAACUUAAUCACUGUAAUCUGCUGGAGAAUGCCAGUGGGAUGGAUGCUUUGCCCACACCCAAAACCAUCUGCUGCUCUAAAUGGUUUGUGAGCAGAUCUGCCACUGUCUAUGAGGAAGGAUAUUGUAACAAACAAAUAAAUAAAUAAAAUGACUGACAAAGGGA
This is a long non-coding RNA of Sinocyclocheilus anshuiensis, 252 nucleotides long. RefSeq lists it as uncharacterized. The transcript has 3 exons. Lineage: Eukaryota; Metazoa; Chordata; Actinopteri; Cypriniformes; Cyprinidae. The record is from RefSeq and is a predicted model, not a curated record.